This 1063-nucleotide ribosomal RNA is filed under the name Parastagonospora minima. Its description in RNAcentral is "partial 18S ribosomal RNA". It matches the Rfam family "Eukaryotic small subunit ribosomal RNA", at positions 53 to 787 of the family's 1831-position model. Lineage: Eukaryota; Fungi; Ascomycota; Dothideomycetes; Pleosporales; Phaeosphaeriaceae. The record is from RNAcentral.
GGGGCAUGUCUAGUAUAGCAUUAUACCGUGAAACUGCGAAUGGCUCAUUAAAUCAGUUAUCGUUUAUUUGAUAGUACCUUACUACUUGGAUAACCGUGGUAAUUCUAGAGCUAAUACAUGCUGAAAACCCCAACUUCGGGAGGGGUGUAUUUAUUAGAUAAAAAACCAACGCCCUUCGGGGCUUCUUGGUGAUUCAUGAUAACUUUACGGAUCGCAUGGCCUUGCGCCGGCGACGGUUCAUUCAAAUUUCUGCCCUAUCAACUUUCGAUGGUAAGGUAUUGGCUUACCAUGGUUUCAACGGGUAACGGGGAAUUAGGGUUCGAUUCCGGAGAGGGAGCCUGAGAAACGGCUACCACAUCCAAGGAAGGCAGCAGGCGCGCAAAUUACCCAAUCCCGACACGGGGAGGUAGUGACAAUAAAUACUGAUACAGGGCUCUUUUGGGUCUUGUAAUUGGAAUGAGUACAAUUUAAACCUCUUAACGAGGAACAAUUGGAGGGCAAGUCUGGUGGACAUUCAGCUCCCACUUUGCUGACGCCAGAGAUAGUCGGGCAUCUUUCGAGGUGUUACGCCGGCUAGUCGAUGUACCUACUAAAAUGAUGGGGAGGUACCGGCAAGACAACCUGGAUCGGGGAAGGCUAAGGCAUUCAAGCAAUGCUAUGCUAAUCCCGAGCAGAGCUACUGUAGAGCGAUUUACAGAUAGCCUGUGUAGAGCACGGAAAGGUGUCGGCCAACUCAAGUAGUUGGCUUAAGGGACGUGCCAUUCUCAUCUGAAAAGGUGGCUGUCAGCAAUAGCGCCCAUCACGCGAAGGCUGACAGGUUCAAGCGUACACGUUUGAAGUUAAAUAGGCCAGCAGCCGCGGUAAUUCCAGCUCCAAUAGCGUAUAUUAAAGUUGUUGCAGUUAAAAAGCUCGUAGUUGAACCUUGGGUCUGGCUGGCAGGUCCGCCUCACCGCGUGUACUUGUCCGGCCGGGCCUUCCUUCUGGAGAACCUCAUGCCCUUCACUGGGCGUGUUGGGGACCAGGACUUUUACUUUGAAAAAAUUAGAGUGUUCAAAGCAGGCCU